AUUGAACGCUGGCGGCAGGCUUAUCACAUGCAAGUCGAGCGGGGUGAUGGUGCUUGCACUAUCACUUAGCGGCGGACGGGUGAGUAAUGCUUAGGAAUCUGCCUAUUAGUGGGGGACAACAUCUCGAAAGGGAUGCUAAUACCGCAUACGUCCUACGGGAGAAAGCAGGGGAUCACUUGUGACCUUGUGCUAAUAGAUGAGCCUAAGGCGGAUUAGCUAGUUGGUGGGGUAAAGGCCUACCAAGGCGACGAUCUGUAGCGGGUCGGAGAUGAUGAUCGGCCACACGUGGACUGAGACACGGCCCAGAGUCCUACGGGAGGCAGCAGUGGGGAAUAUUGGACAAUGGGGGGAACCCUGAUCCAGCCAUGCCGCGUGUGUGAAGAAGGCCUGAUGGUUGUAAGCACUUUAAGCGAGGAGGAGGCUCUUUUGGUUAAUACCCAAGAUGAGUGGACGUUACUCGCAGAAUAAGCACCGGCUAACUCUGUGCCAGCAGCCGCCGCCG
This 502-nucleotide ribosomal RNA is filed under the name uncultured bacterium. RNAcentral's name for it is "partial 16S ribosomal RNA". It matches the Rfam family "Bacterial small subunit ribosomal RNA", at positions 30 to 523 of the family's 1533-position model. The record is from RNAcentral.